This is a long non-coding RNA of Oxyura jamaicensis (ruddy duck), 147 nucleotides long. RefSeq lists it as uncharacterized. The record is from RefSeq and is a predicted model, not a curated record. Lineage: Eukaryota; Metazoa; Chordata; Aves; Anseriformes; Anatidae. The transcript is spliced from 4 exons.
UAUGUGGGACAUUGCAACAUAUAUAUGGCAAAAGAUUGAAAUCCAGGAAAAUAAGACAGUAUUUCAAAAUACUUAUUUUAAUCAAGUAGUGUGCAAGUCUACUUGCAUGUUUGAGCAAAAGUAGUUUCCCCUUACCCUGGCCAUUUA